CUACUAAAAAUACAAAAAGAUUAGCUGGACGUGGUGGCAGAUGCCUGUAAUCCCAGCUACUCAGGAGGCUGAGGCACGAGAAUGGUGUGAACCCAGGAGGCAGAGCUUGCAGUGAGCCAACAUUGCACCACUGUUCUCUAGCCUGGGUGACUGAGAGAGACUCCAUCUCAAAAAAAAAAAAAAUGACUUUUUAUUUGCCCUUGUGAUAAGAAUCACCUUUAUUCAUUUUGGAACAAACAGGAAAUGAUGCAGUUGUAGCUUGCUGGGUGGUGACUGUCCUAGGGAUGGUGGGAUCCAGUAGACCAGAAUUGUCAGCACCUUGCCAUGUUCACUUAUGUCCUUUCUUGCUGUGACUAAGAUUCGUUUCCCAGACUCCUUCAUCAACUCCGUUUCCAUUGUGACAUGAACAGUUUUGCACUGCUUUAGCAUCUGCCUUUGGUUUUAAGGGAGGAGACCACCCCUCAUAUUGUCUUAUGCCCAAUUUCUGCCUCCAAAGAUAGAAGAAGAAAUAAAAACUAAAAGGAAGAAAUGAAAUCCACAGGCAGACAGCCCGGCACUGUGCCCUGGACCUGGUAGUUAAAGAUCGGCCCCUGACCUAAUCGAUUAUGUUAUCUAUAGAUUCCAGACAUUGUAUGGAAAAGCACUGUGAAAAUCCCUGUCCUGUUCUGUUGUUCUGAUUACCAGUGCAUGCAGCCCUCAGUCACAUACCCCCUGCUUGCUCAAUCAAUCACGACCCUCUCACCUGGACCCCCUUAGAGCUGUAAGCCCUUAAAAGGGACAGUAAUUGCUCACUCGGGGAGCUCGGUUUUUGGAGAUAUGAGUCCACCGAUGCUCCCAGCUGAAUAAAGUAAAGCCCUUUCCUUCCACAACUCAGUGUCUGAGGGGUUCUUUUCUGUGGCUCAUCCUGCUACAUUUCUUGGUUCUCUGACCAGGAAGUGAGGUGAUUGGUGGACUGUCGAGGCAGCCCCUUAGGUGACUGAGGCCUGCCCUGUGGAGCAUCCCUGUGGGGGACUCCAAUCAGCCUGAGUGACGCAGAUCCAAAGAGUGCUCCCAGGUAGGCAAUUGCCCCGGUGGGACAUCUUACUAGAGAAGCAUGUGGCAGGCCCUCACGGAGGAUCAACACAGUGGCUGAACACCAGGAAGGAAUUGGCACUUGGAGUCUGGACAUAUGAAAUUUGUGAGGGCCAUUUCACCCCAGGAGAUACUGUAACCAAGCAGGUGCAAUUGAAGGCAGGCCUUGGCUGACCAGGUAAGCUCUAAGCAAUUGUAAAUAACUACCUUCCAAAUAUGUAUAAUUUACAUUUUUUAUUUAGAUACCAUAAACAUUUAUUAAGCUAUAAUAUUUACAAUAUUAUUUUCUGUUUUGAGGUCUACAACUAUAUCUACAUAACACCAAUGACAAUAUUUUAAUAAACAGGAGGAAUAUAUAUAUAUAGCUUUACAAAAAAAGCCUGAUACAUUUACAUCUGUAUAAGAUACUGUAGAAUCAAUUUCCAAAGCUCAAGGAACUAAAACACACACACACAGACACACACACACAAACAUCCUAAUACAAGAUUCAACAUGUCUCCUCUUUGCUGGGUCCAGGUAUGAGAGUCAUCACUGUGUCUGUGAGCUGAGUCCAGAAAUAAGACACCCACCUGUGGCAAGAUCCACAUAUAAAAGUCACAAUACAAACUGUGAGCUAUAUCCACAAGUGAGACUCAGAACCUCAGCAGUGGGCUCUGUCCAUGUGUGAGGGUGAUAAUCCCGUCAGCUGGGUGUGCAUAGAAGAGUCACAAUCUCAACUUUGUACUGGGACCUAAUAUGAAACUCUUGGUGAAACGUAAGGGCUUUAUAUUAUAUGCAUGAGUGUGGUAAUCUUCUGAGAACUUUCUGCAAGUAGAAGACUCAGGACCUUACCCAUUGCCCUAAGCCCAGCUACAAGAAUCAACACCUCUUCUAUUGGCUAAAUCCAAGUAUAUGAGAGUCAUCAUUGCAUCUGUGAGCUUGAUCCAGAAAUAAGUCAUCAUCUCACACAUUGCUGAAUUUACAUAGGACAGUCACAACUCUAACUGUGGAUCAUGUCCACAUGUGAGAUUCAGGACCUCAACAGUGGGUUCUGUCCAUGUGUGAGAGUGACAAUUGUAAUUGUCAGGUGGGUGUGCCUGUGGGAUGCACAAUCUCACCUGUGUGCUGAGUCCUGUUAGGACACUCUCUGUGUCACUCAAGGAUGUUAUGGGAUAUGCAUGAGUGUCAUCAUCUUCUGUGACAUUACCACAAGUAGGAAACAGAAGACCUUACCUAUUCCCCUAAUUCUAGCCAUGAGAGUCAAAAUCUUUUCUGUUUGUUGGGUCCACAUAUGAGAGUCAUCAUCACGCCUGUGAGCUAGGCCUAGGUAUGUCACAAUCCCACCUGUGGGAAGACCAGACAGGAGAGUCACAUUGUUUGAAUGUUGGUCUAGGAAUAUUUCAAUAACCCCCUGUGUUCAGGGCCCUGGCAAGAAAGUCACAUUACUUGAGUGCUGAGCUCAGCCAUAUGUCAAAAUGCCUCUGUGGGCAGGGCCUAGCCUAGAGAACCACAUCACCUGGGUUCUGUGUAAAGCAAUAUUUCACAAUUAAUUCUGUUUAGGGCUCAGGAAGGAGAGGAAAGUCAUGUAGGUUCUGGCCUACUGGAUAGGUCACAAUCCCUCCUUUGACAGAACUCAGGCAGCAGAGUCACAUCAUUUGGGUGUAGGGCCCAGUAAUAUUGUCAAAACCCUCACAGAAGUCAGGGCCCAUGCAGGAAGAAAGAGUCAUGUCACCUAGGUUCUGGGCAAGGAAUACGUCACAAUCCACCUGUGGACUCAGCUCUGGCCCCAGGGUCACAUCUCCUGAGCACUAAAUUCAGGAACAUGUCACAGUGCCCUUUGUGGUACAGGCCAGAGCAGAUGUAUCACAUCACCUAGGUGCUAUGCCCAGCAAUAUGUCACUAUUU
Molecule: long non-coding RNA, 2955 nt
Filed under: Homo sapiens (human)
Lineage: Eukaryota; Metazoa; Chordata; Mammalia; Primates; Hominidae
Description: HSALNT0257294
Source: RNAcentral